GACGAACGCUGGCGGCGUGCUUAACACAUGCAAGUCGAACGGAAAGGCCCUGCUUUUGUGGGGUGCUCGAGUGGCGAACGGGUGAGUAACACGUGAGUAACCUGCCCUUGACUUUGGGAUAACUUCAGGAAACUGGGGCUAAUACCGGAUAGGAGCUCCUGCUGCAUGGUGGGGGUUGGAAAGUUUCGGCGGUUGGGGAUGGACUCGCGGCUUAUCAGCUUGUUGGUGGGGUAGUGGCUCACCAAGGCUUUGACGGGUAGCCGGCCUGAGAGGGUGACCGGCCACAUUGGGACUGAGAUACGGCCCAGACUCCUACGGGAGGCAGCAGUGGGGAAUAUUGCACAAUGGGCGGAAGCCUAAUGCAGCAACGCCGCGUGCGGGAUGACGGCCUUCGGGUUGUAAACCGCUUUCGCCUGUGACGAAGCGUGAGUGACGGUAAUGGGUAAAGAAGCACCGGCUAACUACGUG
Molecule: ribosomal RNA, 468 nt
Filed under: uncultured bacterium
Lineage: Bacteria
Description: partial 16S ribosomal RNA
Rfam family: Bacterial small subunit ribosomal RNA
Source: RNAcentral